Molecule: ribosomal RNA, 460 nt
Filed under: uncultured bacterium
Lineage: Bacteria
Description: partial 16S ribosomal RNA
Rfam family: Bacterial small subunit ribosomal RNA
Source: RNAcentral
CCUACGGGAGGCAGCAGUGAGGAAUAUUGGUCAAUGGGCGAGAGUCUGAACCAGCCAAGUCGCGUGAAGGAUGACGGCUCUAUGGUUUGUAAACUUCUUUUAUAUGGGAAUAAAGUGAGGAACGUGUUUCUUUCUGUAUGUACCAUAUGAAUAAGGAUCGGCUAACUCCGUGCCAGCAGCCGCGGUAAUACGGAGGAUUCGAGCGUUAUCCGGAUUUAUUGGGUUUAAAGGGUGCGUAGGUGGUCAAUUAAGUCAGCGGUGAAAGUUUGUGGCUCAACCAUGGAAUUGCCGUUGAAACUGGUUGGCUUGAGUGUAUUUGAGGUAGGCGGAAUGCGUGGUGUAGCGGUGAAAUGCUUAGAUAUCACGCAGAACUCCGAUUGCGAAGGCAGCUUACUAAGCUAUAACUGACACUGAGGCACGAAAGCGUGGGGAUCAAACAGGAUUAGAUACCCCUGUAGUC